RNAcentral lists this unclassified non-coding RNA (415 nucleotides) under Hevea brasiliensis (rubber tree). The record is from RNAcentral. Lineage: Eukaryota; Viridiplantae; Streptophyta; Magnoliopsida; Malpighiales; Euphorbiaceae.
GUUGAAAGAUGAGGUUCGUUCUCCUUUUGCUUUUGUUGAUUUUGUAAUUUAUUUGAUCACUGUCUUCGAUUUUAUAUUUUAAAAUUGGGAAACGGAGGGGAAGUUUGAGAUCUCUGAUUUGUCUUUUGUCUUAUAACAUCUCUGUUAUUACUUAUUGCUCAAGAGCACGCGAAUAUUUAGCCAAAUACUCGUUCGACUUUCUCUUCCUCUCUGUAGUAGAUGGUAUAAAAUUUCUUUUUAAUGUGCCGGUUUCUAAUUUUGGAAAUUAAUUAAUCGAACAAUUCAGUUGAAAUUUAUGUGUGUAUUUGUGCAUGCUGCCUCUCAUUGAUUAGCUACCUAACAAAGUGGCUUUACUCAACAGAGAAGUACAUUUUUUUUUUAUUCUGAUUACAGAGGUUGGUUCAGCAUCAGCCUA